GUGUCAGCCGCCGCGGUAAUACGUAGGGUGCUAACGUUGUUCGGAAUCACUGGGCAUAAAGAGCGCGUAGGCGGUCUGAUAAGUCAGGUGUGAAAUCCCCCGGCUCAACCGGGGAACUGCACCUGAUACUGUUGGGCUUGAGUGCAGGAGGGGAGAGCGGAAUUCCUGGUGGAGCGGUGAAAUGCGUAGAUAUCAGGAGGAACGCCGGCGGCGAAAGCGGCUCUCUGGCCUGUUACUGACGCUGAGGCGCGAAAGCUAGGGGAGCAAACGGGAUUAGAUACCCCGGUAGUCCUAGCCCUAAACGAUGGGUACUAAGUAGAGGAAAUUCCGAUAUUUUCUCUGCCGGAGCUAAUGUAUUAAGUACCCCGCCUGGGGAGUAUGGUCGCAAGGCUAAA
RNAcentral lists this ribosomal RNA (395 nucleotides) under uncultured bacterium. RNAcentral's name for it is "bacterial SSU rRNA". It matches the Rfam family "Bacterial small subunit ribosomal RNA", at positions 505 to 898 of the family's 1533-position model. The record is from RNAcentral.